UUGAAAUUAAAGUUGGAAUUUCCAUGUAAGUAACUGAUCUCUGGAACUGAAGCUUUAAGAAGAGCACUGUCAGAAGAUUUGGAGUAAACUCUCAAGAAAUGAUAACACUGGAAUUUAUUGAAAGAAGAAAACCUAUCAAGUUUUCCUUGAAAUAAAACCCUGACAGUUCUUACAUCUUACAGACAGUAGACGUAUUUAACAUCUUUGAUAAACUGAGCUAUGAAGGCAGAAUUUAUUGUGACAGAUUCC
Molecule: long non-coding RNA, 249 nt
Filed under: Gallus gallus (chicken)
Lineage: Eukaryota; Metazoa; Chordata; Aves; Galliformes; Phasianidae
Source: RNAcentral